UCUUGGUCAUUUAGAGGAAGUAAAAGUCGUAACAAGGUUUCCGUAGGUGAACCUGCGGAAGGAUCAUUAUUGAAAUAGCACGACGGGAAGCUGUUGCUGGCCCUAGUGGCCGUGCACGCUUUCUGUCCUUCAUUUCUCCAUCUAUUUGUGCACCUCUUGCGUAGACCCCUCUGUUAGGACUGCUUUGCAAAAUUGAUUGUGGGCUUUCCUUGUUUCUACGUCGUCAUAUACACCAGUGUAACGAUUUGGAAUGAAUGGAAUUUUGAUGCAAUAUAUAAAGCACAACUUUCAGCAACGGAUCUCUUGGCUCUCGCAUCGAUGAAGAACGCAGCGAAAUGCGAUAAGUAAUGUGAAUUGCAGAAUUCAGUGAAUCAUCGAAUCUUUGAACGCAUCUUGCGCUCCUUGGUAUUCCUAGGAGCAUGCCUGUUUGAGUGUCGUUAAUAUCUCAACCGCACCAUUGGGGGUGUGGCUUGGAUUUGGGGGUUAUGCAGGCUCUGGCUUGUAGUCUGCUCCCCUGAAAUGCAUGAGUGGUUGAACCCUCUGUUAGGUGUGAUAAUUAUCUGCAUCUGAUGGAAAGGUCAUGGCUGCUUAUAUGUCGUCGGAUUUGAUAAACUUGACCUCAAAUCAGGUAGGACCACCCGCUGAACUUAAGCAUAUCAAUAAGCGGAGGA
This 671-nucleotide ribosomal RNA is filed under the name uncultured Inocybe. RNAcentral describes it as "eukaryotic LSU rRNA". The stretch from base 284 to 437 matches the Rfam family "5.8S ribosomal RNA". The record is from RNAcentral. Lineage: Eukaryota; Fungi; Basidiomycota; Agaricomycetes; Agaricales; Cortinariaceae.